ACUCAAAUGAAUUGACGGGGACCCGCACAAGCAGCGGAGCAUGUUGCUUAAUUCGAUGCAACGCGAAGAACCUUACCUGGAUUGAACUACGUAGGAAAAGCUGCAGAGAUGUAGUGUCCUUCGGGGCCUGCGAUAGGUGGUGCAUGGCUGUCGUCAGCUCGUGUCGUGAGAUGUUGGGUUAAGUCCCGCAACGAGCGCAACCCUUGUCUUAUGUUGCUAACGCGUUAUGGCGAGGACUCAUAAGAGACUGCCGUGGUCAACACGGAGGAAGGUGGGGAUGACGUCAAGUCCUCAUGCCCCUUACGUCCAGGGCUGCAAACAUGCUACAAUGGCCGGUACAAAGAGCUGCGAACUCGCGAGAGUAAGCGAAUCUCAUAAAGCCGGUCUCAGUUCGGAUUGAAGUCUGCAACUCGACUUCAUGAAGCUGGAGUUGCUAGUAAUCCCAGAUCAGCAUUGCUGGGGUGAAUACGUUCCCGGGUCUUGCACACACCGCCCGU
This 497-nucleotide ribosomal RNA is filed under the name uncultured bacterium. Its description in RNAcentral is "partial 16S ribosomal RNA". It matches the Rfam family "Bacterial small subunit ribosomal RNA", at positions 899 to 1397 of the family's 1533-position model. The record is from RNAcentral.